This 205-nucleotide ribosomal RNA is filed under the name uncultured bacterium. RNAcentral's name for it is "partial 16S ribosomal RNA". It matches the Rfam family "Bacterial small subunit ribosomal RNA", at positions 32 to 213 of the family's 1533-position model. The record is from RNAcentral.
AAUCAACGCUGGCGGCGUGCCUCAGACAUGCAAGUCGAACGCGAAAGGUUCCUUCGGGACCGAGUAGAGUGGCGCACGGGUGAGUAACACGUAGGUAAUUUGCCUUUGGGUGGGAAGUAACUACAGGGAAACUUGAGCUAAUACCGCAUAAUGCAGCGGCUCGACAUCGAGACAGUUGUUAAAGCGGGGGAGUUCGCAAGAACCU